GACGAACGCUGGCGGCGUGCUUAACACAUGCCAGUCGAACGGAAAGACCCUGCUUUUGUGGGGUGCUCGAGUGGCGAACGGGUGAGUAACACGUGAGUAACCUGCCCUUGACUUUGGGAUAACUUCAGGAAACUGGGGCUAAUACCGGAUAGGAGCUCCUGCUGCAUGGUGGGGGUCGGAAAGUUUCGGCGGUUGGGGAUGGACUCGCGGCUUAUCAGCUUGUUGGUGGGGUAGUGGCUUACCAAGGCUUUGACGGGUAGCCGGCCUGAGAGGGUGACCGGCCACAUUGGGACUGAGAUACGGCCCAGACUCCUACGGGAGGCAGCAGUGGGGAAUAUUGCACAAUGGGCGGAAGCCUGAUGCAGCAACGCCGCGUGCGGGAUGACGGCCUUCGGGUUGUAAACCGCUUUCGCCUGUGACGAAGCGUGAGUGACGGUAAUGGGUAAAGAAGCACCGGCUAACUACGUG
This 468-nucleotide ribosomal RNA is filed under the name uncultured bacterium. RNAcentral describes it as "partial 16S ribosomal RNA". It matches the Rfam family "Bacterial small subunit ribosomal RNA", at positions 28 to 507 of the family's 1533-position model. The record is from RNAcentral.